GCUGACUCGGAACAUGGCUGCACAAUGAGAGUUCUUGGCAGGCGACACCCAGACACCAGAACCAAGCACAGACCCCACGCUGCAACUGGAGAAACAUUUCUGUGGCCGUCCAAAAAAACCCAGAAGACCAUCUGUCAUUGGUGAAGAAAGUAUCUCGGACAGUGAAUGGUUCUUCAUAGUGGUGUCAAGCAAAAGAAAAACCAAACCUGUCAUUGUCAUCUAUGUGUAGAAAAUUACUGAGAGCACCUCUGUUAGAAUUUUAGUGUUUAAGAACUGUACAGGGCAUGGUAACUAUGAGAAUGCUGCUCUACAAAAUCAAAUUGAAA
This 326-nucleotide long non-coding RNA is filed under the name Lonchura striata (white-rumped munia). Its description in RNAcentral is "domestica (Bengalese finch) lncRNA (ENSLSDG00000009520.1)". Lineage: Eukaryota; Metazoa; Chordata; Aves; Passeriformes; Estrildidae. The record is from RNAcentral.